RNAcentral lists this non-coding RNA (45 nucleotides) under Trichobilharzia regenti. Lineage: Eukaryota; Metazoa; Platyhelminthes; Trematoda; Strigeidida; Schistosomatidae. The record is from RNAcentral.
AUCCUGCCGACGAGUCACAAAUAGGAUGAAAUGCGCAUCCUGGAU